UGCGCCCUCAACUUCAAUACUUCGAUCAGAAGUUGACCGUGACUCUUCACAUUACCUCUAAAAAAACAAUAGUCUUUUUAAAGACUCCAUCUCCACCUUCCCUCCACCUUUCCUUGUGGUGUGGCAGGUUUUGCCAUUGAAAAAAAAGAAAAUCUCCAUCCUGCCUUCCUUUGUGGUGCUGCAGACUUUUCAGGCUUGUUCCAGACCAGCCCUGUCAGAGUGGUGUCUGUGUGUCACAUGUGACACUGUGCCUGUCUUUGUCUGCACACCCUGCACUGCACUCAUAUACAACAGAACCCACUUACGCCUACCUGCAAACAUAUAACGACAAGUGACACUUUUUGACAACAUACUUGACUGCACAUACUAAACUCUUUACAUAUAACUGUGUCCCCUCAGACAACUUCUUUGAGACUUUGAAA
Long non-coding RNA from Sardina pilchardus (European sardine), 422 nucleotides. RefSeq lists it as uncharacterized. The transcript is spliced from 3 exons. Lineage: Eukaryota; Metazoa; Chordata; Actinopteri; Clupeiformes; Clupeidae. The record is from RefSeq and is a predicted model, not a curated record.